CGCGUAGGCGGCUAUGAAAGUCUGGUGUGAAAGGCCACAGCUUAACUGUGGGAGUGCACUGGAAACUACAUGGCUAGAGUUCAAGAGGGGAAGUUGGAAUUCCUGGUGUAGGGGUGAAGUCUGUAGAUAUCAGGAAGAACACCUGUGGCGAAGGCGAACUUCUGGCUAUGAACUGACGCUGAGGCGCGAAAGCGUGGGGAGCGAACAGGAUUAGAUACCCUGGUAGUCC
RNAcentral lists this ribosomal RNA (229 nucleotides) under uncultured bacterium. RNAcentral's name for it is "partial 16S ribosomal RNA". It matches the Rfam family "Bacterial small subunit ribosomal RNA", at positions 568 to 796 of the family's 1533-position model. The record is from RNAcentral.